Molecule: long non-coding RNA, 1884 nt
Organism: Solanum tuberosum (potato)
Lineage: Eukaryota; Viridiplantae; Streptophyta; Magnoliopsida; Solanales; Solanaceae
Exons: 2
Source: RefSeq, a predicted model, not a curated record
UGUCAUCAUUGCUUUUCUAAUUUCUUUAGAGUUUUUUCUUUUAGUCAAUUCAGAGACGUUUCUCAAACAUUUGCAUGAAAAGAUAUGUUAUUUAAGACUAAAGUAUGAUGAUAUACACGAAAAAAUGGAUAACAAAAGGUGUUGAUCAUAAACUAUAUGACGCUUUGUGUGUAUAUGCUAAAUUUUUUCUAUUAUAGAAAUGUGAUGGAGAGGGUAAAACAGAUAUUAUACCAAUCAUACAAGGGCAAAAUUGUAAUUUACACUAACAAAUGGACUGAUUUCAAUUCCAAACGCAAGGUAUAGACCCAUCCGUCUUCCAUCUUUCUCACUCCAAGCAAAAAGAUUUCAACUCAUUCCAAGCACAAACACUCUAACAUAGUUCUAAAAGCAUAGUUUCUUCCAUCCCUCUUGUUCCAACACCAGUUAAUCGAUUCGCAAGUCCUCAUAAUUUCAGGUAUGUCCCAAAAUUAUAUAUGAAAUCCAUGGCUGAUGUGAAGGUUUAUGUUGUCUGAAAUUCAUGGCUGAUGUGAAGGUUUAUGUUGUCCUUACAUAUCUGCGAUUCCAUAAGAAAAUAACAUAUUACUAAUUACUGACUGAUCUAAUAAAGAGUUCACAUUUUAUGAAAUUGAACCGUGUUUGUUUAUGCAUAAGUAUACACCCCAUACCAAUUGCUAGAGGUUAUGGAUGAGUUAUCAACCAUGGUAGUCUAGAUUCAAUUACCCAUCUAUUUUUUGGAACGAAACAAGAACAUAAAUGGAGUUUAAAAGCAUAUGAAAAGAUGAAGUUGUGUUGCUCGCUAUUGUCAAUGAAACUUUCUCGCGUGUACAAUCGCGUGUGUAGUUACACAUUUAUCUACAAGGAUCCAAAUACCAUCUCUUCCCUCGGCAUCUUCACUAUCGAACCCGAACAAAAGUUGUGAAUCUUCACCAAUAAACAGGGAUGGAAUCCAUCUGCAAAGAGCUGAUGGAGAACACUGUGCCGAUUUCCACUUAUGCUCCAUCAAAUAUAUUGUACUUGGCACAAUAAAACUUGGACAUGUUUCUACUUUAGUUAAUUAAAACAAAAGUAAGGGUAUGUUUUCUGGAUCAUUCUUCAUAUGUCUCUCCAUAAUUUCUCAUUCCUCACCUUUACUGUCUUACCCUAAGAGGGCAACUGGGCAAGGUAAGAUCAAAUAAAUAUAUGAAUCUUUUACUCCUCUUCGGAAUUUCAAUAAGAAAGAAGAUUCACUAAAGUUUAGGAUUUGGAAUUUUUUAAAAAUUCUCUUAAUUUUUCUUCGAUUUAGAGUGUAGCUAGCUUUGGUGGGUCACUGAUAUCCGCACGACCCAAGGCCUUCCGUUGAACUACUACUCAGGUCUAAAUCUCAUUCUAUAACAUGUUCUCCUUCUCUUCAUAUAUUCUACUUUGAAAAUAUUCUUUCUUAUUUUUGAGAAUGUUUUUUUCUCUUCUUAAAUUAUUAUUUUUGAGAAUGGAAAAUAUUCUUUCUUAUUUCCUCUUAGUUAAAACAUUUUAAAUACAUUACCCUCUAUUAUCUUUAUCUAUUGCACCCAACAAUAUGACUUCUGAGUUUAGAUUUAACCGUUUUAUAUUUGAUUGUUAAUAUAUGUUUUUAUUAUUUUGAUUUUUUUUAAUUGCACAUAGAUCUCAUCUCCUUUCCUAAAGCCAAAAUCAAUCUCUAUAUAUCUGUGGGAUUUCAUUAGCUCUUCCGCGUGUAAGAUCCUUUCCUGGUUGCAUCAGUGUUUGUGUUAAGGUAAAUGUAUACAUUACAACUCUCAAUGGCUGGUUGUUCAUAUAAGGUUCCUCACACUUACUCUCUCUUUGAGGCAUGAAUAUGAGGUACAAUCAGAUGGUCUUGCAGAGUACAAUCCCUGGCAAACAUAUAUUACG